RNAcentral lists this ribosomal RNA (507 nucleotides) under uncultured bacterium. RNAcentral describes it as "bacterial SSU rRNA". It matches the Rfam family "Bacterial small subunit ribosomal RNA", at positions 29 to 524 of the family's 1533-position model. The record is from RNAcentral.
ACGAACGCUGGCGGCAGGCCUCAUACAUGCAAGUCGAGCGCGAAAGCUCCUUCGGGAGUAAGUAGAGCGGCGAACGGGUGAGUAACAGGUGGAUAAUCUGCCUUUUGGUAGGGGAUAACGGUUGGAAACGGCCGCUAAUACCGUAUACGGUUGCACUUCCACGGGAGUGUAAAGAAAGGAGCUAUUGCUCCGCCGAAAGAUGGGUCCGCCCCCCAUUAGCUAGUUGGUGAGAUAACAGCUCACCAAGGCAACGAUGGGUAGCCGAACUGAGAGGUUGAUCGGUCACACUGGAACUGAGACACGGUCCAGACACCUACGGGUGGCAGCAGUAGGGAAUAUUGCGCAAUGGGCGAAAGCCUGACGCAGCCAUGCCGCGUGGAUGAUGAAGGCCUUCGGGUCGUAAAGUCCUUUUCUGAGGGAAGAACAAGCAGGGGAGUGGAAAGCCCCUGCCCUGACGGUACCUCAGGAAUAAGCAACGGCUAACUCCGUGCCAGCAGCCGCGGUAAU